AAGUCGUAACAAGGUUUCCGUAGGUGAACCUGCGGAAGGAUCAUUACCGAGUGCGGGUCCUUUGGGCCCAACCUCCCAUCCGUGUCUAUUGUACCCUGUUGCUUCGGCGGGCCCGCCGGAGACCCCAACACGAACACUGUCUGAAAGCGUGCAGUCUGAGUUGAUUGAAUGCAAUCAGUUAAAACUUUCAACAAUGGAUCUCUUGGUUCCG
RNAcentral lists this unclassified non-coding RNA (211 nucleotides) under Aspergillus niger. RNAcentral's name for it is "partial internal transcribed spacer region". The stretch from base 1 to 46 matches the Rfam family "Eukaryotic small subunit ribosomal RNA", at positions 1786 to 1831 of the family's 1831-position model. The record is from RNAcentral. Lineage: Eukaryota; Fungi; Ascomycota; Eurotiomycetes; Eurotiales; Aspergillaceae.